UUUUGUACAUCCAUCCAAUAUUUUAUUGAAUAAAAGCCCAAACACAAACCUUUACAAAUUGAUAUCAAUCAAUAUAGAAAUCAUUGAUUGAAAACAUUGCAAAUGUUCACUGUUAAAAAUGUAUGUAUCCCACAUGGUUUUCGUUUUUUUUUUAAACGAUUUGGUGCUAUUUUCACAAAUAUGUACAGAACCCCAAACUGGUAACACUUGUAAUGCAGCCAGUCUUAUAUUCAAAUCCUUUCAAUAUUAAUGUAUUUGGUUUGUAGACAUCGUUCACUACACAACCAUUAAUUCAAAAUAUAAGUUUACUGUGAAAUAAGAACAUUGGUUUAAUCACCAAAACACAACCUAAUGACAUCUCCUUAAUUUAGUUAUUUUAACCAAUUAAUCCAAAAACACGUUUAAGAUACGUUUCAAUUUGCUCUUUGAAUGUAGUAUGCUCCAGUAGUGUAAAUUACAGUACAUGACACUGUUUCACAUUCGGCAAUACACUUGCACUACCCAUUAAAAUGAACUGGACUUGAAAUGUCAAUAACUUCUAUCCCAUGUCUGAUCAUUGAAGACAUGGGAUAGACAUGGGGGCUCUGGUAAUCUUUCAUAAGGUAAUCAAAGGAAAGAAAAGUUUAAGGCGUUAGAUUGCAUCAAACCUGUCUGGAACAUUUGUCCGUAGGUUCUCAUCGAAAUCACAGUAAAUAUCCUAAUUGUUCAUGCACCAGGCCUGAUAUAGGUCUGGAUUGACGUCAUUGCAUGAGUCAUCCAUGGCCUAGAGGGUGGUGGUUCGCUCGUGGGGGUGGAAGUGUCUUCCACGUGUACAGGUGUACUUAAUGUAUUGUACUCAGGUGUACUUAAUGUAUUGUAGUGGUUCUGUACGUGUCUGUUUUUUUACCUUUAUUUAACUAGGCAAGUCAGUUAAGAACAAAUUCUUAUUUUCAAUGGCAACAGUGGGUUAACUACCUGUUCAGGGGCAGAACGACAGAUUUGUACCUUGUCAGCUCGGGGGUUUGAACUUGCAACCUUCUGGUUACUAGUCCAAUGCUCUAACCACUGCCGUCACUAUAGUUCAUAAGAGCAUGGCACUAGCAACACCAGAGGUGUGGGUUCCAUUCCUACUGGGAUCACGUACCAAAAAGUGGACUGUUGUCGCUUUUGGUAAAAGUGUUUGCUGUGUAAAUGGACCGUACUACCCAAUGCUAUUUUAGUGAAGCAUUUAUUUAUUGUUAAGGACUUUCUGGAUUAUUUGCGUAUUGGCAUUGUAUUACUGCAACGCAGGAGCUAGAAACACAAGCAUUUCGCUGCGCCUGCUGUGACAUCCGCUAAUCUGUGUACGCGACCAAUAAACUUUUUAAUUUGUAACAUAUAGUACGUCUGACUUUGUCAAUAUCAGAUUUGUUUUACUUACUGUGAAGUAAAAUCAUAAUAAUAAUACAUAGUUACUUACGUUUCUACAGACAUCCAUUGUCAUUAUUUAGUUCUCAAAAUCUGUAGUAGACAAAAUGUAAAAUCGAUCCAUUUACCAAACGUUCCGUAGGUUUAAUCAAACGUUCCGUAGGUUUAAUCAAACGUUCCAUUGGUUUAAUCAAACGUUCCAUGGUUUAAUCAAACGUUCCAUGGGUUUAAUCAAACGUUCCAUGGGUUUAAUCAAACGUUCCAUGGUUUAAUCAAACGUUCCAUGGGUUUAAUCAAACGUUCCGUAGGUUUAAUCAAACGUUCCGUAGGUUUAAUCAAACGUUCCGUAGGUUUAAUCAAACGUUCCAUGGGUUUAAUCAAACGUUCCAUGGGUUUAAGUGAUCCCUGAUAAAGAGCAGUUGGAUUAUGUAAUAGGAAAACCUCUUAAAAGAGAAUCAUACCUAAAGUAAUGUGAGCAUUGAGAAAAGCAAUGACUGUAUAUGAACAUGUAUUGCAAUGUGAAACAUGCAUUUCUAGAUGAAACAGAUUAAAUUUGGUGUAAAAAUAAAGUGACUGUUGUACUUAGUCAAUUGAAAAUGUGCUUAGUUUUGAAACGGGCUUUUUGAUGAUCUGUUUCGAAUUUCGUAUUAAGAGUUGUGGAAAUAUACCACAUACAUGUGAAAAUUGCACCAAUGAGAUUUAAAAAAUAAAAUAAAAAACAUUUUAAACCAACCCCAAAUCCUCACCUAGCCCAAACCCCAGAAUUAUCUCCAAAAGAAAGCUGGACGGAUCUUGGAUGGUUGGUGUAGAUUCAAGGGUCUCAAAAGAAGAAGAGACAUUUCCCAAAAGGCCCUGCAGCUCUACUCGUCUUAUAAUCUAUUCAGAUGGAAAAGUACAUAGAUGUGGCUGUUAUCUUUUGUACAUCUUUUAAAAACUUAAACGCGUGCCAUGGUUCCGCUAUAAAAUGACCUAGUUUUCAAGAUUAUAUUGACUGCAUCUCAAAUGCCACCCUAUAUAGUGCAGUACUACCCUGGUCAAAAGUAGUGCACUAGGCCUAUAGGGAAUAGGGUUCCAUUUGAGAGAUAGCUACUCUUUCCCUGAACUUAUUAACCCCCCCAAUAACUGCCCUGCAUUUACAAUCAAAACAAACUAAAGCCACUCAAAUUUAGCUACCAAACAUGUAUGCAAAUUAAUUAACUGGCAAAAGCAUAAAAGUUCAGUGGUCGCCGUGGUUUCUAUUCUGAGUGACAACACAUUCCACCUGUCGUUCAUAGAGGCCUUCAAUUUAAAAAAAAAAAAUAUUUAAAAAAAAAGUCCCCAAGAAUAUCGUCUAUGCCCAAACGGUACCCUAGGGAAUAGGUUGCCAUUUUGGGCUGAACCCUAUAUCCUACAGGUCGCUUGGCAUGGCAAAGAUUUUAUAAAACGAUAUAAAGGGGGAAUAGACCUUUCUCAAAGGUGCAUCCAUUCAUCCCAACAAAAUCAAACUCCAGAUCAAACUAUACAGGUUAAAAAUGUCAAAUUAAAAUCAACAAAGCAUCAGGUGCUUAUUCAGCAGGAUGAUAAUACAUUUCAGAACAAAUUGCAGAUUGAACAGACGUGCGUUUCAAGCCUGGACUUGAAAUCUGUGUAUAUUCUACAUUGGUUUGUUAAUGUUUCACUCCACUGAAUGAGUCCCAGGUGUACAUGGCUUUCAGAGAAUAAGCUACCCUCAGUGCUCUCAGCACCACAACCCUGAAUCCUUCCC
Oncorhynchus tshawytscha (Chinook salmon) is the source of this 3130-nucleotide long non-coding RNA. NCBI's taxonomy places the organism in Eukaryota, Metazoa, Chordata, Actinopteri, Salmoniformes, Salmonidae. The record is from Ensembl.